This is a non-coding RNA of Pelobates cultripes (western spadefoot toad), 301 nucleotides long. The record is from the annotation of a GenBank genome assembly. NCBI's taxonomy places the organism in Eukaryota, Metazoa, Chordata, Amphibia, Anura, Pelobatidae.
CAGGCGCGCGCACGCAGACAGGCGCGGGAGGGAGACCGAGCGCAGAGAGGGGGGUGUCUGGCUGACUGGAUCCGCCGUGAAUUGUCCGCCCGAGAGCCCAGGCCGCCCCGCCCGAGCCCGCCCUCCGCCGCCGCCGCCGCCGCCGCCGCACGGUCCUGGGAGCCCCCGGGGGGGAGGGGGACAGGAAUGAGCCGCUCUGCCCGAGGCCGUGAGACGCAGGAAUGAUCUGAGCUCGGCCAUUCCCGGCCUGCCCCGCGCUGCUCUCCGUGACUCGCCCUGCCGCCCGCCGCCCCGCCUGCCG